RNAcentral lists this ribosomal RNA (455 nucleotides) under uncultured bacterium. Its description in RNAcentral is "bacterial SSU rRNA". It matches the Rfam family "Bacterial small subunit ribosomal RNA", at positions 36 to 518 of the family's 1533-position model. The record is from RNAcentral.
CUGGCGGCAGGCUUAACACAUGCAAGUUGAACGGGAUUCGAUGGUAGCUUGCUAUCAUUAAUGAGAGUAGCGCACUGGUGAGUAACACGUGGGAACAUGCCUUUUGGUGGGGGACAACAGAUGGAAACGUCUGCUAAUACCGCAUAAGCCCUGAGGGGGAAAGAUUUAUUGCCGAAAGAUUGGCCCGCGGAAGAUUAGGUAGUAGGUGGGGUAAUGGCCUACCUAGCCGACGAUCUAUAGCUGGUCUGAGAGGACGAUCAGCCACAUUGGAACUGAGACACGGUCCAGACUCCUACGGGAGGCAGCAGUGAGGAAUAUUGGGCAAUGGAGGGAACUCUGACCCAGCCAUGCCGCCGUGAGUGAAGAAGGUUUUCGGAUUGUAAAGCUCUUUCAGAUGAGAAGAUAAUGACGGUAUCAUCAGAAGAAGCACCGGCUAACUUCGUGCCAGCAGCUGC